UACGUAGGUGGCAAGCGUUGUCCGGAAUUAUUGGGCGUAAAGCGCGCGCAGGCGGUCCUUUAAGUCUGAUGUGAAAGCCCACGGCUCAACCGUGGAGGGUCAUUGGAAACUGGGGGACUUGAGUACAGAAGAGAAGAGUGGAAUUCCAGGUGUAGCGGUGAAAUGCGUAGAUAUCUGGAGGAACACCGGUGGCGAAGGCGGCAUCCUGGACCAAUAUUGACGCUGAGGAGCGAAAGCCAGGGGAGCAAACGGG
This 253-nucleotide ribosomal RNA is filed under the name uncultured bacterium. RNAcentral describes it as "partial 16S ribosomal RNA". It matches the Rfam family "Bacterial small subunit ribosomal RNA", at positions 524 to 776 of the family's 1533-position model. The record is from RNAcentral.